GGCAGAUGCACGUUCCUGACAUUCCUUCUCAUCCAGCUCUCAGUGGGCUGAGUGAAGGGUUCUCAGACAGCAAGGACAGGAGGUGCCUUUUAGGCCAGCAUGACCCAGACACCUUUCCAGGGAUUCAGACAUGACACUGGAUGUAAGAGGAGCCCCAUAUUUCUAUGAGAGAACUGCAAAGGCAGCUGAAUCUCAUUCCUGUCCCAUCAUUGGUUCUGGACAGCCCUUGAAUGUGCAUGGAGAGACUGCAAAGUCAGAACCCUUAUCAGUGACCUUUAUGCUCCAGGACCUCCAUCCUCCAUGGUUGAUGUUUCUGUACACAAGCAGUCUUUGCACCACACAAUGUUUUUUACUGAGAACUCAGCUCCCAUUUUCCUGGCAUCCAUCAGCCUCUGGGCAUAGAAAUCUCAUAUCUUGCUGGGAAUCAGAGGCAGAUUGGUCUUCCUUCAGCUGUCCCUGUAGUUUGCAGCUAAGUGUUACAAAUAUCAUCAAUUCAUCCACUGGUCCAUUUGCAUCCAGGGUGCUUGUCCAAGUCCCCCACUCUCCCUUUCAGUCUCUUCCCUGCACAUUAACUCUUGUCAUGUCUUCAGUUUCUACUUCAUGGAUGAUUUGGAUUCACUGUCAAAAGCUUUCAAGCAACGAGACAGAUUCUUAUCCACCAUUCAUUUUCUCCGCUUCUCAAGUAGCACCAGCUAUGCUCCCCCACUAUGAGUUUGCCCUUGGAGUGAUAACUCAUCAUAAAUCCCAAAUUGGAAGGGAUUCAGAAAGCCCAGCUUCUUCAUCGAGCCCAACUUAUAAGGGCUUUUACAUUCCCAUUGGAUUACUUCACUGAACAUCCAAUCCCAUUCUGAAGGAACUGCCACAUCCCACUGGAGAAGACAGAUCAAGAGGUGUGUUACAGAUAAAGUUUCAGUCACUCUUCUCAUACCUUUUUUGGCUUUCUGGAUGGUUCUGAACACACCCAGAUUUGUUCACUUCUACUAUCCACUUAUUUCCAUUAC
RNAcentral lists this long non-coding RNA (1001 nucleotides) under Coturnix japonica (Japanese quail). RNAcentral's name for it is "lncRNA (ENSCJPG00005020546.1)". The record is from RNAcentral. Lineage: Eukaryota; Metazoa; Chordata; Aves; Galliformes; Phasianidae.